UGCCCAGCCAAUGGCAGCAGCACCUGCGCCGGCGACUGUGCCAGCACCUGAAAC
RNAcentral lists this non-coding RNA (54 nucleotides) under Rhodosorus marinus. The record is from RNAcentral. Lineage: Eukaryota; Rhodophyta; Stylonematophyceae; Stylonematales; Stylonemataceae.